RNAcentral lists this ribosomal RNA (485 nucleotides) under uncultured bacterium. RNAcentral describes it as "partial 16S ribosomal RNA". It matches the Rfam family "Bacterial small subunit ribosomal RNA", at positions 29 to 523 of the family's 1533-position model. The record is from RNAcentral.
AGUGAACGCUGGCGGCGUGCUUAACACAUGCAAGUCGAACGAGAACGGAAUAUAGCUUGCUAUAUUUGUCAGCUAAGUGGCGCACGGGUGAGUAAUGUAUAGAUAACCUGCCCUUAAGAAAGGAAUAACAGUUGGAGACGACUGCUAAUGCCCUAUAUGCCUUUAAUACAUAAGUAUGCAAGGGAAACGCUUUAGUGCUUAAGGAUGGGUCUGUAUGGUAUCAGCUCGUUGGUGAGGUAAUGGCUCACCAAGGCUAUGACGCCUAACUGGUUUGAGAGGAUGAUCAGUCACACUGGAACUGCGACACGGUCCAGACUCCUACGGGAGGCAGCAGUGGGGAAUAUUGCACAAUGGACGAAAGUCUGAUGCAGCAACGCCGCGUGGAGGAUGACACAUUUCGGUGCGUAAACUCCUUUUAUAUAGGAAGAUAAUGACGGUACUAUAUGAAUAAGCACCGGCUAACUCCGUGCCAGCCGCCGCCGUAA